Caenorhabditis elegans is the source of this 194-nucleotide non-coding RNA. NCBI's taxonomy places the organism in Eukaryota, Metazoa, Nematoda, Chromadorea, Rhabditida, Rhabditidae. The record is from Ensembl.
GUUCGUCGCGGUGAAAACAGGGGAUGGGGCGAGGUGUAGGGAGUUAUGGUGUUUUGAAUGUUUUCCGGAUGACAAACAAGUCAAUGAGGUCUCUAUGUCGAAUCGGCACCACCCGACCACAAAGUAAAUGAUGGGUGACAAAUGAGCCUUCAACCAAUUACAUAGGAGAGGCCCUCGCAUUUGUCAUUGCAUCU